UUUUCCCUGAGAUGAAUCUCGAACCAUCAAAGCCUUUCUGACUAAACCUUAUAUCUCGUAUAAGAGGUAAUUUCAAUUUCGAUGUAGUUUUAGUUUCUGCUUAGAAAGUUUAAUGGAAAAUUUAUUAAUAAUUUUUACAUAAAGUGACUUAUUCUGAAAAAGUAACUCACAAUAUGCACUUUUUUCAUGUUCAUGUGUAUAUAUAACUCUAGCAACCGGGUACAGAAAAUAUUUGCAACAAUUCUUUUUUUGGUUUAAUUACCUGAGGAUGCAUAGCUAGUUAGAAGACUGAAAAAGGUGCUAAAUAGGUUUGGUGAGGAUAACGACACACAAGCUGAUUAUUAAUCUUAAUCUAAUCAUAACCUUGCUGAUUUUUUAUUCUAUGACUUAUAUUGUAUAAAAGUCUAUUUGAGACAGAGAUAUACUUAGCUUUAUUCUGAUCAGUUAUAUGGUCCAUUCAACAUUGAUAAAACAUUUUUGUAGUUUUUUAAAAGAAUUUAUUAGUUGACAAACCUAUAAGUUGGAAUUUAUAAACGCGGAAUGCAAACGAAGAAAAUUUGAUUUCAAAAAGUAAUCGAUAAUAUUUUUAAAAUAUUAGAAUUUCAUUUAUUUUUGCAUACUAGUAUAAUCCUUUUCUCAAAGUUUAGAGAAGCUAAAGUUAACUACACAAUCCAUCCGAAUUUGUAGAUAAAAGAGUCAAAACAACAUACGCUAUGUUUCCAGACAAAUAGCUUAUAUAACUUAACACUUGACACAAUUAGAACACUUUGAUUUGUGUGGAAGAAAUUGAUGAUAGGAUAUAGUUUUUUUGGAGAAAUUCACUUGAAAAUCCUCCAGGCUUGUUCUCAACCGUAAACACAAACACUUGGCAAUUACUUCAUCCUUAUCCUUUUCAGGUUCCUUGGUUGAAAUCAGUUUGGUUCAGCAAUCCAAAAUAUGUGUUCCUACAUUGGUUUGGAAUCCUUUUGUAACACAUUUCAUUAUAUCUCCUCCUUUGGAAUUUUAGAAUAUUGUGGGUUGGGUUCGCUCUCCCAUUCCAUGUAAAAAAACUCAAUUGACUUGACUAUGCAAGCUAAUCCUCCUAGCAGUGAUUUAUUACUUAUGGAAAUAAAUAAAUUCAAGACUCCUCGCGUCAACACCAUUGAGUCAUUGACAACCAAGUGAGAGAAGGAUUGCCUCAGCAAAAGGAACAAGCCGGGAAUGUACCUACGAAAGUGCUCUCCAAGUUUGGUUUGACUCACGAUGAAGACCACAAGAUCAUCUAUAGUAUUUCAAUCCAAGCAAUUUAUAUUCUCUGAAAACUCUUGGUAGCAAAUUCUCACUCUUUUUACAAAAUGAUUUUUGGAUUUGAAUAAAUUAACAUUUUUUUUUAAAAUCCAAGACUCGAUAAUCCAUCUCCAAACCGGCAACUCGUUAAGUGAAGGAGAUUCAAUUAAUCCCAAGGGCUAAACUUCUAGGUCUGGAUAGAGAAACUCUAUCUAGCAUAGACAUCAAUAAUUUCUUCACACAUGGAAGGGAAAUCAGCUAACCAUCUUUUCACAUGAUUCAUUCACUGCUUCACGGAUGGUGGUUCUUAUUAGGCAUGUAUUGAUUUUCAUUUUUUUUAUUUUUCAUUUUUUAGUUCAGUCUGUUAUCUGAAAUGUUUUUUACUAAUGAAUCAAUAUUCAAAAUCAUUGUACUUUGGAUUCCUUUUUUAUCAAAGCUUCUACUUUCUAAAUUCUCUGACUGUUCUUGGUUUGUAAUUCCGUAUGAUGUAUCUCUUUUUUGUUGAGAAAAAAAAUUGAUGCAUACAAAUCAUCAAUAUGUGCUUUUUGAAACUAUAACAACCACGUAGCCCCAAGAUUCGUGAACCCUUACAGGCCCAUAUAUAGGCUUGAAGAUAAAAGAAAAUUUGCAUACACUUUAAGAGCUCGACAAGAGAAAUGAAGAGCUAUUGACAGCUUCUCCUCCCACCAAGAUGUUAACCGUACGUACUUUGAACCUCUCAAGCUUUUCAAUGGCCUCCUCAAGUAGACUGCCCCCUCGAGCGCGUGUCGUGUGAAUAUUAACGCCACUGUGAAGCUUAGAUUUAAUAUGUUGAAUCAUCCCUUGAUCCUCUUUACGAUCUAAUAUGUUGUCUAGUCUUCUAGAUUUAGAGACCAAUGUUUUCUCACUCAUUACUGCGUUUGUGUAAAUCGAGAAUGAUUCACAAAAUAACGAUCUUGAAAGCAAAAGAAGGGAAAUAUUAAAAUUUGUGUGUUUGUUUGGUAAUCAAUGUGUAAAAUGUAUGUUGGAUUGUUGGUUUAUGUGGUUAUA
Long non-coding RNA from Brassica napus (rape), 2295 nucleotides. RefSeq lists it as uncharacterized. Lineage: Eukaryota; Viridiplantae; Streptophyta; Magnoliopsida; Brassicales; Brassicaceae. The transcript has 2 exons. The record is from RefSeq and is a predicted model, not a curated record.